AGUGAACGCUGGCGGUAGACCUAACACAUGCAAGUCGAACGGCAGCACAGUAAGAGCUUGCUCUUACGGGUGGCGAGUGGCGGACGGGUGAGGAAUACAUCGGAAUCUACUUUUUCGUGGGGGAUAACGUAGGGAAACUUACGCUAAUACCGCAUACGACCUACGGGUGAAAGCAGGGGAUCUUCGGACCUUGCGCGAUUGAAUGAGCCGAUGUCGGAUUAGCUAGUUGGCGGGGUAAAGGCCCACCAAGGCGACGAUCCGUAGCUGGUCUGAGAGGAUGAUCAGCCACACUGGAACUGAGACACGGUCCAGACUCCUACGGGAGGCAGCAGUGGGGAAUAUUGGACAAUGGGCGCAAGCCUGAUCCAGCCAUACCGCGUGGGUGAAGAAGGCCUUCGGGUUGUAAAGCCCUUUUGUUGGGAAAGAAAAGCGGCAGGUUAAUACCCCGCUGUUCUGACGGUACCCAAAGAAUAAGCACCGGCUAACUUCGUG
This 492-nucleotide ribosomal RNA is filed under the name uncultured bacterium. RNAcentral describes it as "partial 16S ribosomal RNA". It matches the Rfam family "Bacterial small subunit ribosomal RNA", at positions 29 to 507 of the family's 1533-position model. The record is from RNAcentral.